UCUGGCUUCGGCCCGAGUUGUAAUUUGCAGAGGAUGUUUCUGGCGCGGUGCCUUCCGAGUUCCCUGGAACGGGACGCCAUAGAGGGUGAGAGCCCCGUAUGGUUGGAUACUAAGCCUGUGUGAAACUCCUUCGACGAGUCGAGUAGUUUGGGAAUGCUGCUCAAAAUGGGAGGUAAAUCUCUUCUAAAGCUAAAUAUUGGCCAGAGACCGAUAGCGCACAAGUAGAGUGAUCGAAAGAUGAAAAGCACCUUGAAAAGGGGGUUAAACAGUACGUGAAAUUGUUGAAAGGGAAGCGCUCAUGACCAGACUUGUGCUGGGCAGCUCAUCCGGGGUUCUCUCCGGUGCACUCUGCCCAGUUCAGGCCAGCAUCGAUUUUUGCUGGGGGAUAAGAACGGUAGGAACGUGGCCCUCCUUCGGGAGGGUGUUAUAGCCUGCCGUACGAUACCCUGGCGGAGAUCGAGGUUCGCGCAUCUGCAAGGAUGCUGGCGUAAUGGUCAUCAGCGACCCGUCUUGAAACACGGACCAAGGAGUCGUCCAUUAGAGCGAGCGUUUGGGUGUAAAACCCGCACGCGUAAUGAAAGUGAAAUUAGGUGAGAGCUUCGGCGCAUCAUCGACCGAUCCUGAUGUUCUCGGAAGGAUUUGAGUAAGAGUUUUAACGGACGGACCCGAAAGACAGUGAACUAUACUUGUAUAGGGUGAAGCCAGAGGAAACUCUGGUGGAGGCUCGCAGCGGUUCUGACGUGCAAAUCGAUCGUCAAAUAUGAGCAUGGGGGCGAAAGACUAAUCGAA
This 789-nucleotide ribosomal RNA is filed under the name Coniella koreana. RNAcentral describes it as "partial large subunit ribosomal RNA". It matches the Rfam family "Eukaryotic large subunit ribosomal RNA", at positions 121 to 939 of the family's 3401-position model. The record is from RNAcentral. Lineage: Eukaryota; Fungi; Ascomycota; Sordariomycetes; Diaporthales; Schizoparmaceae.